CUAAUCCUCGUGCGGUGGGGACGGUGGGAGGGGACGUGGAGGCAACGCAGCGAGCUCUCGUAGCUCAACGAGCGUCUGGACCAUCCAGUCAAUGAGUGCGCCCUGACGUCUGAGGCGCCGGUCGAAGUCCCGAGCCACCUCACGCGCUACCGGAGGUAGGUCAGCGUAAACGUGCUGCGGGUACUGUGGAGGCUCAGGAGCUGGCUGAACUGGUGGUACGUGGACCUCCUCGACCCGGUCCUCCUGCGCCGGAUCAUCCUGAGCCUGAGGCUGAGCCUGAGCCUGAGCCUGAGCCUGACCCUCAGGCUGAUCCUCAGGCUCAUCGAUGCCCAGAGCCUGUCGCUGAGCCCGCCGAGCGGCCUGCUGAACAUCAGGAAGGGCUAAGAUCCCAGGCCUCACCUCAAUAACAACCGGGAUGACCUCCGGCAACACCACUGGCUGAAAAAUCAGCCCGUCAGCACCCCUGAACCGCAGACCGACAUCAAAGGUACGGGUGAUCUGCAUAGCGGCUACUGACGCGCGACCCAACCUGGAUGACGGGACCGGAUCGGACAGCAGCGGAUCAAGCUCGGGCACGAUCCCUAGCGAUCGUGCAAUGGCGGUGAUAAACGAGCCACUGUGAAGAUACCCGCGGAGCUGCCGGUGGUAUGCAGUAGCAAAGUACUCUGCCAGGCUGGCUGCUAGAUCGCAGGGCUGGCGGCGUAGUAGGCAG
Molecule: long non-coding RNA, 712 nt
Filed under: Helianthus annuus (common sunflower)
Lineage: Eukaryota; Viridiplantae; Streptophyta; Magnoliopsida; Asterales; Asteraceae
Description: hypothetical non coding rna
Source: RNAcentral